RNAcentral lists this transfer RNA (73 nucleotides) under Mus musculus (house mouse). Its description in RNAcentral is "tRNA-Ser". The record is from RNAcentral. Lineage: Eukaryota; Metazoa; Chordata; Mammalia; Rodentia; Muridae.
GGAGAGAUGGCUCAGUGGUUAAGAGCACUGACUGCUCUUCCAAAGGUCCUGAGUUCAAUUCCCAGCAUCCACA